Molecule: unclassified non-coding RNA, 395 nt
Filed under: soil metagenome
Description: partial contains 5.8S ribosomal RNA, internal transcribed spacer 2, and large subunit ribosomal RNA
Rfam family: 5.8S ribosomal RNA (bases 1-120)
Source: RNAcentral
GAUGAAGAACGCAGCGAAAUGCGAUAAGUAGUGUGAAUUGCAGAAUUCAGUGAAUCAUCGAAUCUUUGAACGCACCUUGCGCCUUUUGGUAUUCCGAAAGGCACACCUGUUUGAGCGUCAUGAAUACCUCAAUCUCCAUCUUUUCUUCGGAUUGAUGGGUGACUUGGAUGUUGAGCCCUGCUGGUAUGCUAUAUCAGCUUGCUUUAAACUUAUUAGCCGGCUCUGUACUGGAUCGGUUUGACUCGACGUGAUAAUAUUAUCGUUGAGGAUGCAUGUCUCAUGCAGCCGGAAAGUAUCAAAGCAGCUUCUAGCUUGCCUUUAGUGCACUUUUACAUUUUAGACCUCAGAUCAGGUGGGACUACCCGCUGAACUUAAGCAUAUCAAUAAGCGGAGGA